GGGAUCUUGCGACAAUGGGCGCAAGCCUGAUCCAGCCAUGCCGCGUGAGUGAUGACGGCCCUAGGGUUGUAAAGCUCUUUCAGUGGGGAAGAUAAUGACGGUACCCACAGAAGAAGCCCCGGCUAACUUCGUGCCAGCAGCCGCGGUAAUACGAAGGGGGCUAGCGUUGUUCGGAAUUACUGGGCGUAAAGCGCACGUAGGCGGAUCUUUUAGUCAGGGGUGAAAUCCCGGGGCUCAACCCCGGAACAGCCUUUGAUACUGGAGAUCUAGAGUCCGAGAGAGGUGAGUGGAAUUCCGAGUGUAGAGGUGAAAUUCGUAGAUAUUCGGAGGAACACCAGUGGCGAAGGCGGCUCACUGGCUCGGUACUGACGCUGAGGUGCGAAAGCGUGGGGAGCAA
Molecule: ribosomal RNA, 397 nt
Filed under: uncultured bacterium
Lineage: Bacteria
Description: bacterial SSU rRNA
Rfam family: Bacterial small subunit ribosomal RNA
Source: RNAcentral